GAUGAACGCUGGCGGCGUGCCUAAUACAUGCAAGUCGAGCGAACAGACGAGGAGCUUGCUCCUUUGACGUUAGCGGCGGACGGGUGAGUAACACGUGGGUAACCUACCUAUAAGACUGGGAUAACUUCGGGAAACCGGAGCUAAUACCGGAUAAUAUUUCGAACCGCAUGGUUCGAUAGGGAAAGAUGGCUUUGCUAUCACUUAUAGAUGGACCUGCGCCGUAUUAGCUAGUUGGUAAGGUAACGGUUUACUAAGGCAACGAUACGUAGCCGACCUGAGGGGGUGAUCGGCCACAGUGGAACUGAGACACGGUCCAGACCCCUACGGGAGGCAGAAGUAGGGAAUCGGCAGAAUUGGGCGAAAGCCUGACGGAGCAGCACCGCGUGAGUGAUGAAGGUCUUCGGAUCGGAAAACUAUGUUAUUAGGGAAGAAGAGGCGUGUAAGUAACUGUGCACGUCUUGACGGUACCUAAUCAGAAAGCCACGGCUAACUACGUG
RNAcentral lists this ribosomal RNA (497 nucleotides) under uncultured bacterium. RNAcentral describes it as "partial 16S ribosomal RNA". It matches the Rfam family "Bacterial small subunit ribosomal RNA", at positions 28 to 507 of the family's 1533-position model. The record is from RNAcentral.